CAGUAGCCGCGGUAAUACGGAAGGUCCAGGCGUUAUCCGGAUUUAUUGGGUUUAAAGGGAGUGUAGGCGGUCUGUUAAGCGUGUUGUGAAAUUUAGGUGCUCAACAUUUAACUUGCAGCGCGAACUGGCGGACUUGAGUGCACGCAACGUAUGCGGAAUUCAUGGUGUAGCGGUGAAAUGCUUAGAUAUCAUGACGAACUCCGAUUGCGAAGGCAGCGUACGGGAGUGUUACUGACGCUUAAGCUCGAAGGUGCGGGUAUCGAACAGGAUUAGAUACCCCUGUAGUCCCUGUUUCUUAUAC
This 301-nucleotide ribosomal RNA is filed under the name uncultured bacterium. RNAcentral describes it as "partial 16S ribosomal RNA". It matches the Rfam family "Bacterial small subunit ribosomal RNA", at positions 509 to 807 of the family's 1533-position model. The record is from RNAcentral.